CGCACGGGUGCGUAACACGUAAGUUAUCUGCCUCUGGGUCUGGCAUAACUCCGGGAAACCGGAGCUAAUUCCAGAUGAUAUCGAAAGAUCAAAGUUUUAACGCCCAGAGAUGAGCUUGCGUCUGAUUAGCUAGUUGGCGGGGUAAUGGCCCACCAAGGCGACGAUCAGUAGCCGGUCUGAGAGGAUGAUCGGCCACAUUGGGACUGAGACACGGCCCAG
RNAcentral lists this ribosomal RNA (219 nucleotides) under uncultured bacterium. RNAcentral's name for it is "partial 16S ribosomal RNA". It matches the Rfam family "Bacterial small subunit ribosomal RNA", at positions 99 to 334 of the family's 1533-position model. The record is from RNAcentral.